RNAcentral lists this long non-coding RNA (1636 nucleotides) under Capsicum annuum. RNAcentral describes it as "long non-coding RNA (CANN_LNC002035)". Lineage: Eukaryota; Viridiplantae; Streptophyta; Magnoliopsida; Solanales; Solanaceae. The record is from RNAcentral.
CAUAAAAUAAUAAAUUUAAAUUCAUACAAGUCAUGUUACAUAUAAACAAUCAUUGUAUAAAUAAAUACACAUUAUCAUGAUAAUAGUUUAAUUUAAACAGGAAAAGAUAGAAUAAGAUCUAUAUGCAAGUUCAAAGGCAAGUAAUUUCUCUUUAGCAGCCAGUGAGAAUGACACACAGUUUUCUGAAGCUUCACAUUAAUGUGUUUUUAUAAAAUCAUUUACUAACGAUUUGUAAGAUCUCGUAAUUUUGAGACCCAACUUAUGCCAAAAUUUAUCAAGUAAUUCCUUUUGAAAAACAUUAGGCAAUGCAGACCGUAAAACCCUGUAUUUCUUCUUUACACUUAAUAGACCUUCAACCCACACAACUUCUUGAAUUAACUUGUUAAUUCUCGUUAUGUGUUUCACAAAGAUUGUAAGAUCAUCAUCUUGAACAUUGAAUUCUGACGAGAAAUUAAUCAAUUAUCAAUCACAAUUUUCACUCUGUCCUUCUGUUGCUUUAUGAAAACUCGUCUGAUUGUUCUUAUCAUCACCAUAAUUUUCUAUAACAUAUACAAAAAAUAAUUAGAACUUACCACAUAUACAUGUAUAAACAUGCAUAUAGAAAUUUAUGGUGAAAAUAAAAUUUUACAAAAAACUUUAUAUUAAUAUGGCUUAUAAAAGAAAAUUAACUCAUAGUUCUUAAAAGAAGAUAAAAAAAAACUAACCCAUAUUUGUUACUAACAAAAAUCCUCCUAUUUUUUUUAAAGGAAAGUGUCACGAUUUGACACAAACUAGAAUAAAAUUGAAGAUUCUUAUACUAGUCAAAAUAUAUAGCAUAUGAGGCAAUGAACAAAAAUAAAUCAAGUUGAAAGAAUGUUGUCUUAAGAUUUUUUUAUUCUCAAACUACCUAAAAAAUUAAUCUCAAACUACUUUGCCACUGCCAAGAACAUCAAUAUCAUAAAAAAUAACACACCCACUUUAUGCGGUUUUUUAGAAGAAGAAGAAAUUUAAAAUAAUGAUAGCUUGUACAAACCUCCACGUCAAUUGUUGAAAAUUGUAUUCAACUUACCGUUGAUGGGCAGGUCUAGAUCAUUCUUCCUCCUUAUUUCUUGAAAGACACAAUUUUUAUUGGUUCUUUCUCCUUUUUUUUUUCAUGAAUGGCACGAUGAAUAAAAAUAGAUCAAACAAAAUAUACAAUUCACACAAUUGUAAUUUUCUAAAAAAUAAGGCUAGAGAGACUAAUAACGGAGGCUCUGAUGUCAAUGUUGAAUCUUAUCAAACACACAAUUUGUAGGAUCAUUAAAUUCGUUUCACUAAUCAGAAUGUAAUCACGUACAUAAACGAACUACGCCAUAUUGAUUCACAAUCUAAAAUCGUACCCAUUACAAAAGAUUAUUUCAAUCGCUGAUGGAGAUUACUUUAAUCUUUACAGGAAUUUUCUUGCUGAAAUUCUUCACCCAAAAAGAAGAGAGUUUUGCAAAGAGAGAGAGAAAGAGGAAGAACAAAAAAAAUAUUUUUUUUUUGCUUUUGAUCUUUUAUCUUAUCUGAAGAAACAUAACUGUUCAGAUGAGAUGUAACUUUUCAAUAGGGACAUAACUAUUGAGAAGAGACACAACUCUUCAAUAGAGACAUAACUCUUCAGAUAGUCUUUUCCAAC